Molecule: ribosomal RNA, 301 nt
Filed under: uncultured bacterium
Lineage: Bacteria
Description: partial 16S ribosomal RNA
Rfam family: Bacterial small subunit ribosomal RNA
Source: RNAcentral
CAGCAGCUUCGGUAAUACGAAGGUCCCGAGCGUUGUUCGGAAUCACUGGGCGUAAAGGGAGCGUAGGCGGCGUGGUAAGUCAGAUGUGAAAUCCCGGGGCUCAACCCCGGAACUGCAUCCGAUACUGCCAUGCUAGAGGAUUGGAGAGGUAGCUGGAAUUCUUGGUGUAGCAGUGAAAUGCGUGGAGAUCAAGAGGAACACUCGUGGCGAAAGCGAGCUACUGGACAAUAACUGACGCUGAGGCUCGAAGGCCAGGGUAGCGAAAGGGAUUAGAUACCCGUGUAGUCCCUGUCUCUUAUAC